AACGAACGCUGGCGGCAUGCCUAACACAUGCAAGUCGAACGAGACCUUCGGGUCUAGUGGCGCACGGGUGCGUAACACGUGGGAAUUUGCCUCGGGGUAUGGAAUAACUCAGGGAAACUUGAGCUAAUACCAUAUAAUGUCUUCGGACCAAAGAUUUAUCGCCCUGAGAUAAGCCCGCGUAGGAUUAGCUAGUUGGUGGGGUAAAGGCCUACCAAGGCGACGAUCCAUAGCUGGUCUGAGAGGAUGAUCAGCCACACUGGGACUGAGACACGGCCCAGACUCCUACGGGAGGCAGCAGUGGGGAAUAAUUGGACAAAUGGGCGAAAGUUUGAUCCAGCAAUGCCGCGUGAGUGAUGAAGGCCUUAGGGUUGUAAAGCUCUUUUACCCGAGAUGAUAAUGACAGUAUCGGGAGAAUAAGCU
This 420-nucleotide ribosomal RNA is filed under the name uncultured bacterium. RNAcentral describes it as "bacterial SSU rRNA". It matches the Rfam family "Bacterial small subunit ribosomal RNA", at positions 29 to 492 of the family's 1533-position model. The record is from RNAcentral.